GCUGGCGGCAGGCCUAACACAUGCAAGUCGGGCGGUAACAGGGAGUGCUUGCACUUCGCUGACGAGCGGCGGACGGGUGAGUAAUGCAUAGGAAUCUGCCUGGUAGUGGGGGAUAGCCCAGAGAAAUUUGGAUUAAUACCGCAUACGCCCUACGGGGAAAGCAGGGGGGACUCUUCGGAGCCUUGCGCUAUCAGAUGAGCCUAUGUCGGAUUAGCUUGUUGGUGAGGUAACGGCUCACCAAGGCGACGAUCCGUAGCUGGUCUAAGAGGAUGAUCAGCCACACUGGGACUGAGACACGGCCCAGACUCCUACGGGAGGCAGCAGUGGGGAAUAUUGGACAAUGGGCGCAAGCCUGAUCCAGCCAUGCCGCGUGUGUGAAGAAGGCCUUCGGGUUGUAAAGCACUUUCAGCGAGGAGGAAAGGGGUGUUGCUAAUAUCAACGCCCUGUGACGUUACUCGCAGAAGAAGCACCGGCUAACUCCGUG
This 484-nucleotide ribosomal RNA is filed under the name uncultured bacterium. RNAcentral describes it as "bacterial SSU rRNA". It matches the Rfam family "Bacterial small subunit ribosomal RNA", at positions 35 to 507 of the family's 1533-position model. The record is from RNAcentral.